Erinaceus europaeus (western European hedgehog) is the source of this 141-nucleotide small nuclear RNA. Its record names the gene U4. It matches the Rfam family "U4 spliceosomal RNA". From Rfam's summary of the family: U4 small nuclear RNA (U4 snRNA) is a component of the major U2-dependent spliceosome. The structure of U4 snRNA from yeast and human has been reported. NCBI's taxonomy places the organism in Eukaryota, Metazoa, Chordata, Mammalia, Eulipotyphla, Erinaceidae. The record is from Ensembl.
AUCUUAAUGCGGUGGCAAUAUUGUAGCCAAUGAGGUUUAACCAAGGCACGAUUAUUGCUAAUUGAAAACAUUUCCCAAUACCCUGCCAUGAUGACUUGAAACAUAGUCAGCAUUGGCAAUUUUUGACAGUCUCUAUGGAGA